This is an RNA transcript of Lathyrus oleraceus (garden pea), 1606 nucleotides long. It is a transcript of the gene named glycosyltransferase family protein 64 C3, with no coding region annotated. The record is from RefSeq and is a predicted model, not a curated record. The transcript has 3 exons. Lineage: Eukaryota; Viridiplantae; Streptophyta; Magnoliopsida; Fabales; Fabaceae.
UUGUAAUGUACAUGCUAGUCCACAAACUUCUCAUGGAACAAAAAUACAAAAGCUUAUGUUCUUUCUAUUCAAAUGCAUUACUACUAGUAGUCCUCUUAAAAAUCAUAGGAUGAUAAAUUGACACCUUUGUCUAUGAAUCUAUGAUGAUUUAAAUAUUGUUAUAUCAGACGGUUAUAACUCAUCCAUUUUUUCCACAAUAUUGCCAAACCCCCCACUUCAAAACUCAGUUCCAACGUGCUUCAACACCAAACCCAUUCAUUUCCAUGUGACUAUGUAGCACAAUCACUACAAAAACAAGCAAACUCCCAUCAUUAACAAUAAAAAAACUCAACAACCUCAAAAUCCUCAAACCCACCGUAAACCACCGCAAUGACUUCACCAACAACAACCUUAAUCCUCGCUGUUCUAUUAUUCCACUUCACAUCAACACCAACAUCAACAUCAUCAGACUCAAACCACUGCGGUCCCACAAAAAACCGGGACCCACAAAACCUCCAACCCAACAAAAUCACAGUACUCAUAAACGGUUUCUCCGAAACCCGCAUUCCCAUCCUUCAAUCAAUAGCCGCCACGUACUCACUAUCACCAUUAGUAUCCUCUGUGCUCGUCCUCUGGGGAAACCCAUCUACACCUCCACGUGUCAUUGAUCAAUUGGCUCUCAACCUCUCGUUCUCUUCUGAUUCGAUUUCGUUACAUCGAAACCCUUCUAGUAGUUUAAACGAUCGUUUUCUUCCUCGUUUAAACGACAUAAGUACCGAUGCCGUUUUGGUUUGUGAUGACGAUGUUGAGGUAGAUGGUGCGUCGUUUGAGUUUGCGUUUCGGGUUUGGUCAGCGAACCGGGAGCGUAUUGUUGGGGUUUUUGCUAGGUCGCAUGAUGUAGAUAUGAACCGGAAGGAGUGGGUUUAUACGGUUCACCCGGACCGGUACUCGAUCGUGCUCACCAAGUUCAUGUUGCUCAAAAGCGAGUAUUUGUUCAGGUAUAGCUGCGAAGGUGGGCCUCGCAUGGCCCAAAUGAGAAAAAUUGUUGAUUCGGUUCGAAAUUGCGAGGACAUACUCAUGAAUUUUGUGGUGGCUGAUUCAACCAAUGUUGGUCCUAUUUUGGUUGGUGCAAAAAGAGUGAGGGAUUACGGUGAUGCACGAAACGAUGAGGGAAAGAUUAGCUUGGGUUUGAGUGGAAGAAAAGGGGAGCAUAGAAAAAAUAGAGGGGUGUGUAUAACUGAAUUUCAUAGGGCUUUGGGAAGAAUGCCUUUGAGGUAUAGUUAUGGUAAGAUUGUUGAUUCCAUUGGGGAACAAGGGUUGUGCCGCAAAGGUGGUAAAUUGGUGUUUUGUGAUCAAUGAAACUAAAUAUUAUUUACAAAACACAAAUCAGUAGCUUAGACAUCAUUAACUCAUGUUGUCCAAAAUCCAGUACCAAAGCAGGGAAAGAGAUCAGGAGAUCAUACUGAUCAUUGCAUUGAUUCCUAAACUGCACCAAUAAUGCUCAAACUCUACAACUAUUCCAUCUGGCGUAUGAUCAUGAUUAAUUGCAGAAGUGAGUGUUGGAUAUUCAAGAAUCAUCAAAUGUGACAUAUCCCAGAUGGGUCUGCAUCCAUAAACUUCAGAAUUC